This 1930-nucleotide long non-coding RNA is filed under the name Ananas comosus (pineapple). Its description in RNAcentral is "long non-coding RNA (ACOM_LNC002372)". Lineage: Eukaryota; Viridiplantae; Streptophyta; Magnoliopsida; Poales; Bromeliaceae. The record is from RNAcentral.
UUCGGGACAGAAUUUUGUAAGUUAUAAGGCCCUGUUUGGAUGCAUAGUUAAAAAACACUAUAAAAUUUUUAUUCUAUGGUUUUGGUCUAAAUGAAAUACGGAAUUCUGUAACUACAAAAAAAUUCCACAGCUUCAUUUUUAAGCUGUUUGGAUACAUAUCAUACAAUUCCACAGUAUUUAUAACAAUUAAAUUUCUAAAAUUUUAUAAUUCAAAAUUCAAAACUCAAAAUNCUUUAUAUGAUUAGUUAAAUGUGAAUUUGAGCCUUAUCAGUUUUUCUUUUAUUAUUUGUUAUCCUUCAUAAUAUUUCAAAUAUUUUUUAUGUUUCUUUUUAAUGUUUUUAUUUUUUUGCUAAACUUAUAGUUUGUAGAUUUUUACUAAAGCAUUCUUACCCGCCGCAUCGCGCGGGUCCCUACACUAGUAUAUAUAUAUAUAUAUAGAGAGAGAGAGAAGAAAAAUUUAGAAAAAGAUAGAAAAAAUUUGAGAGAAAAUGAAAAAGAAAAAUUAAAAUAGAAAUGAGAAAAAAAAGAGAGAUUAAUUUUAAUCGUCUAUCAAAAUUGAUGAAUGAUUAGAAUCUUAAAAGCACAAUGACUAUUAUACUUUUAAUAACACAAAAACCCUACUCUCCCUUUACCAAAAGAUAUUUCUAAAAAUUUAAAAAAUUUGCCAACUUGAAAAUAAAUCUAAAUUUGGACUUAAAUAUAAUAUGGCCAGUUACACCUUUUCAUCCUAAGGUUCACCAAUCUUUUUAAAUUUUUUAAUAUUUAAAAAAUAAGUAUUGAUUCUUAAAUAAAGGAAUGUAAAAUUUACACUUCUGAGGGGUCCAAUUAGCGCUACACUAUUUUGCUCUUUACUAAUAUUAGCUAUUUAUUAAAUUUUAAAAAAUAAAAAUUUUGAGUUGUACCUGCAUAUCGUAUCAAUAUCUUAUUGACAUAAUACCACACCGGUACGAAUUAAAUCCUUAGUUCCCACCAUUUACCCUCUCUUUCAUUCUGAUCUCCAACCUUUAAAUUUUCACAAUCACAUCCCUAAUUUUUACUCAUUUUAAUUAAAUUUCACGGUUAAAAUUAUCAUGCACUUUAACAGAAAAAUACAAAGCACCAACCAAUAAUUGCUAUGUCGAUACCAAAUUUUGUCACAAACAAUUUCUUUUAAGGGCUUGUUUGGUUCAUCCAUUUUGGGUAUAGAAUAAAAAUCAGUUUGAUCAAAUCCGAUUAAUUUUACUUGGUUCGCAAUUUCGCAUGAAUCAGUUUGGAAUUUCUAUUCUGGACUGGAAUGGGAAUGACCCAUUAGCCUUCAACUUUAUUCUGAUUUUCUAACCCAGAUUGAUAUUUCAUUCCGGAAGCCCACUAAGUUCUCGAAGCCCAUGUGACCAUCUCACGCUCGUUCUCUUCACUCCUUUCUCAUCAAAAAAAAAAAAAUCUAUCAUGUCUCAAAACCAUAUCCNAUAUCUUUCGGAGCCCAAAAUGGUGGAAUUUUUUUCCUUUGGUUAAAGUGGAUUGUAAGUUUACUCCAUUUUUUGGAGUAUAGUAUAACUAUACUCCAAAAAUUACGUCAUUUUUUUUUCUUCCAAACGCUUCAUAGGAUUAUUUUCCUACCAGCGUAGCAUAGUUUAACUAUGCUACGUUUUUAGAGGUAUCCAAACGGGGCCUAAAUGUAUGUAUAUCUAUAAUCUCCUAUAAACUAUUAUUAAUUCCCGUAAUUUUAAGCCACGUGGCAAGUUUUGCUUAACUUUUGCCUAUGCUUUUGCCUGUGGGUCCCACUGUGAGUAUAUUAUUCCUCUGCUUUAGUUAAAUCGGCCCAUCUCUCUCUUUGCCUUAAACUGGUUUUUUUUUUUGACCGCUCCUCUCCUUCGUGGGUUUGCUUCGUUAUCUCGGCGUCUCCUCUUCCGCCUCUUCGUUAGCCCUCUCUAUUAAGAGGAUUUUGACUCUU